UCACUGCUAUUGGGAUUCGACUAAGCCAUGCGAGUCGUGAGGGUUCGGCCCUCGGCAGACGGCUCAGUAACACGUAGAUAAUUUGCCCUUAGGUGGAGGAUACCCUCGGGAAACUGAGAAUAAUACUCCAUAGAUUUAGAAUGCUGGAAUGCUUUUAGAUUGAAAGAUUUAUCGCCUAAGGAUAAGUCUGCGGACUAUCAGGUCGUAGUUAGGGUAACUACCUGACUAGCCUACGACGGAUACGGGUUGUGAGAGCACUAGCCCGGAGAUGAUAUCUGAGACACGAUAUCAGGCCCUACGGGGCGCAGCAGGCGCGAAAACUUCGCACUGUGCGAAAGCACGACGAGGGAAUCCCAAGUGCUGGCUCGUAAGAGUCAGCUGUUUCUUUGUCUAAAAAACAGAGAGAGUAAGGGCUGGGUAAGACGGGUGCCAGCCGCCGCGGUAAUACCUGCAGCCCAAGUGGUGGCCGCUAUUAUUGGGCCUAAAACGUCCGUAGCCGGUUCU
Molecule: ribosomal RNA, 504 nt
Filed under: uncultured archaeon
Lineage: Archaea
Description: bacterial SSU rRNA
Rfam family: Archaeal small subunit ribosomal RNA
Source: RNAcentral